GGGAAAUGAGCAGGCAUUUUCUUUCAACUUCUGGGUGAAAUUAUAUGCAACUACAGAGUAGGGCAUCCCAGGGGCAUGGGUGGUGCUUUAGUUGGUGGUAGAAAGGUUGGUUCCUUUUUUUUAAGAUUUUAUUUAUAUGAGAGAGAGACACACAGCGAGAGAGGGAACACAAGCAGGGGGAGAGGGAGAAGCAGGCCUCCCGCCGAGCAGGGAGCCCGAUGCAGGCGGGGCUCCAUCCCGGGACCCCGGCACCAUGACCAGAGCCGAAAGGAAGACGCUCAACGACUGAGCCACCCAGGCGCCCCUAAAGGAUAUCUGGCAACAUGGGACCCAUUCCUGCAUCGCAACAGUGAGCUAAAGCUUAUGGUUUCUACAGAGUUCUCUCCAGGCCUGUGUUGGGCCCUCUCAGUCUGGAAAUUCAUAUUCUUCCUUUCUGGGAAAUGUUCUUACGUGAUUUUCUUGACAACAUCUCCUCCCCGUGCUCCCACAUUUUUUGUUCUAUAUCUCUGAAGCCUAUUAGUUGGACUUUCUUAUAUAUAUAUGAAGAUAUCAAUAAUAGAUAUUUGGCUUUAGAAAGAUCUUUCAGGUAGCAGUUUGAAGGAUAGUUUAGGAACCGAGGCUUGAACCGGCAAGAACAGACAGAAAAUUUAAAUAGACAAGGGCAGAACUAAUUGGUAAGAACUUGAACUGAAGGACAAAGAGAAGGAGAAAUAACAAAUAUUCAGAAAGUAGAAUGGGGGGACUUUGUGGACACUGAAGACAGUGAGAAAGGGAGAGGAAUCGAGAAAGACUCUCAGAAGUAGGACCUGGGCAAUGGGGAAGGUGUUCCCUAAAAGAAGUGAAAUGCACGGGGACAUCAUUGGAUUAUUUGGAGCAGGGGAGUCACUUGAUCAGAUUGAGAUUUUUGAAAGAUUACUUACUAAAACUAACAGGUGUCAAUUUGAUCUGAGAAAUGGGAUAUUUACAUAGUUGCAAAGUACCUAAAAAAUACUUAGUAAUUACAAAAGAAAAUAUUCACUUCACAAUGGUAAACUUGGAGCAUGUUGGAGGAGGUCAUUGAGAAGACACGACCAUCAUUUGACCCUCCAGCUGGACUGGAGCCUCUUCACCCCUCCCUUGUCCUUGGUAUGUAAGUUCGGCCCACCAUUCCCACAGCAGGAGCUGUUCCAAGGACAUAGCCUCGAGACAGUAAGGUGUUGAAACCAUCUGGGUGGUAUAUGUAACAACCUAGUUAAGGCCUCUGUAUAAUAAACUUUUAA
Molecule: long non-coding RNA, 1259 nt
Organism: Mirounga angustirostris (Northern elephant seal)
Lineage: Eukaryota; Metazoa; Chordata; Mammalia; Carnivora; Phocidae
Exons: 2
Source: RefSeq, a predicted model, not a curated record